RNAcentral lists this ribosomal RNA (662 nucleotides) under uncultured bacterium. RNAcentral describes it as "partial 16S ribosomal RNA". The record is from RNAcentral.
AAUUUCACACAGGAAACAGCUAUGACCAUGAUUACGCCAAGCUAUUUAGGUGACACUAUAGAAUACUCAAGCUAUGCAUCCAACGCGUUGGGAGCUCUCCCAUAUGGUCGACCUGCAGGCGGCCGCGAAUUCACUAGUGAUUGUAUUACCGCGGCUGCUGGCACGGAGUUAGCCGGUGCUUCUUCUAAAGGUAAUGUCAGAGCUUGCCGCUAUUAACGACAAACUUUUCUUCCCAAUUGAAAGUGCUUUACAACCCUAAGGCCUUCUUCACACACGCGGCAUGGCUGCGUCAGGCUUUCGCCCAUUGCGCAAUAUUCCCCACUGCUGCCUCCCGUAGGAGUCUGGACCGUGUCUCAGUUCCAGUGUGGCUGAUCAUCCUCUCAGACCAGCUAAGGAUCGUCGCCUUGGUGGGCCUUUACCCCACCAACUAGCUAAUCCUACGCAGGCUCAUCCGAUAGCGCGAGGCCCGAAGGUCCCCCGCUUUCCCCCUUAGGGCGUAUGCGGUAUUAGCUUGAGUUUCCCCAAGUUGUCCCCCACUACCAGGUAGAUUCCUACGCGUUACUCACCCGUCCGCCGCUCUACUCAGCCCGAAAGCUUUUCGCGCUCGACUUGCAUGUGUUAGGCCUGCCGCCAGCGUUCAAUCUGAGCCAGGAUCAAACUCU